This 83-nucleotide transfer RNA is filed under the name Felis catus (domestic cat). It matches the Rfam family "tRNA". Rfam says of the family: Transfer RNA (tRNA) molecules are approximately 80 nucleotides in length. Their secondary structure includes four short double-helical elements and three loops (D, anti-codon, and T loops). The record is from Rfam by way of RNAcentral. Lineage: Eukaryota; Metazoa; Chordata; Mammalia; Carnivora; Felidae.
GCCUGGGUGGCUCAGUCAGUCAAGCGUCUGACUUCAGCUCAGGUCAUGAUCUCAGUUUGUGAGUUCGAGCCCCGCAUCAGGCU